This 407-nucleotide ribosomal RNA is filed under the name uncultured bacterium. RNAcentral describes it as "partial 16S ribosomal RNA". It matches the Rfam family "Bacterial small subunit ribosomal RNA", at positions 355 to 774 of the family's 1533-position model. The record is from RNAcentral.
UGGGGAAUAUUGCACAAUGGGCGAAAGCCUGAUGCAGCAACGCCGCGUGAGGGAUGACGGCCUUCGGGUUGUAAACCUCUUUUAGUAGGGAAGAAGCGAAAGUGACGGUACCUGCAGAAAAAGCACCGGCUAACUACGUGCCAGCAGCCGCGGUAAUACGUAGGGUGCAAGCGUUGUCCGGAAUUAUUGGGCGUAAAGAGCUCGUAGGCGGUUUGUCGCGUCUGCUGUGAAAUCCCGAGGCUCAGCCUCGGGUCUGCAGUGGGUACGGGCAGACUAGAGUGUGGUAGGGGAGAUUGGAAUUCCUGGUGUAGCGGUGGAAUGCGCAGAUAUCAGGAGGAACACCGAUGGCGAAGGCAGAUCUCUGGGCCAUUACUGACGCUGAGGAGCGAAAGCAUGGGGAGCGAACA